GUGAGGAAUAUUGGUCAAUGGGCGCAAGCCUGAACCAGCCAUGCCGCGUGCAGGAAGACGGUCCUAUGGAUUGUAAACUGCUUUUAUUUGGGAAUAAACUCCGGUACGUGUACCGGCCUGAAGGUACCAAAUGAAUAAGCACCGGCUAACUCCGUGCCAGCAGCCGCGGUAAUACGGAGGGUGCAAGCGUUAUCCGGAAUCAUUGGGUUUAAAGGGUCCGCAGGCGGUCUCAUAAGUCAGUGGUGAAAGCCUACAGCUCAACUGUAGAACUGCCAUUGAUACUGUAGGACUUGAAUUCGAUAGAAGUGGGCGGAAUGUGACAUGUAGCGGUGAAAUGCUUAGAUAUGUCACAGAACACCGAUAGCGAAGGCAGCUCACUAGGUCUGGAUUGACGCUCAGGGACGAAAGCGUGGGGAGCAAACAGGAUUAGAAACCCUGGUAGUCC
This 445-nucleotide ribosomal RNA is filed under the name uncultured bacterium. RNAcentral describes it as "partial 16S ribosomal RNA". It matches the Rfam family "Bacterial small subunit ribosomal RNA", at positions 354 to 796 of the family's 1533-position model. The record is from RNAcentral.